UUUAAUAUGUACACGUAUAAUGUAUUAUUAACAUUACAUGCAUUAUUGAGAUUAAUAAAUAAUGCUUAGAUUCUAAAAAGACAGUUGAAAAAAAGGCCAUAAUUUGGAUGUUUUCAUUUCAUAGAGAUAUUUCCUAAAUUUGCAGUGAAAGGGCACAACAGCUGGACCAAUAUCCUGAGCUUCCAAUCUCAUCAGAUAGGAAAGAGAACUGCAACAGAGCCCAGAACAGAAGCUGCUUCAGUCUGUCAUCAGAACCAUGAAGUCAGCCUAUUAACCACUAAGCUAAGCACACAGGAUGCUCACACAAGCCCACUUCAACGGAGACCAAAACAGGAAGUAACUCUAGCUAGAAAGACCUUUUGGCCCAUCAUAAAACUUCUGGGAUUAACAGGAUUAAUCAGAUAAAGAAAAUUGAUCAUUCACUCAGAAAUGCCUAUUUCAGAUAUCAGGGCGCUACCAAAAGGAACUGCCACUAAGCAAUGCCAAAUGAAAUCAGUGGAUGGAAGAAAAUGCCCUGUUGGAUUCUGAGCUGUGGUUUUCUUUUCUCCAAUUUAGCUCAAGAGUCUAAUUCUUAUCCUAUGGCAUUUGGGAGAAAUCCACAGAAGAGAAAGGGAAGAUUAGAGGAAGGUUUGGAAAAAUUAUUAUCUGAAACUUGUUUAGGCAGGGAAAACCCCUUCUAAACCUAAAUUCGGACACUUUGCUGGGGCUACCUAAGAAGCAAAGUUGGGCUUCCCAGAUGUCAAGAUUCAUUUAACCAAGGAAUUAUUCCAAUUUAAAUAUAAGAUAACAAAAUAAUUUUGUCCAUUUUCUUCAUAUCUAUGAAUAAUAAAAUAUUUCUUUCAUU
Non-coding RNA from Macaca mulatta (Rhesus monkey), 844 nucleotides. Lineage: Eukaryota; Metazoa; Chordata; Mammalia; Primates; Cercopithecidae. The record is from RefSeq and is a predicted model, not a curated record.